GAGUUUGAUCCUGGCUCAGAUUGAACGCUGGCGGCAUGCCUUACACAUGCAAGUCGAACGGCAGCACGGGAGCUUGCUCCUGGUGGCGAGUGGCGAACGGGUGAGUAAUGCAUCGGAACGUAUCCUGGAGUGGGGGAUAACGUAGCGAAAGUUACGCUAAUACCGCAUAUUCUGUGAGCAGGAAAGCGGGGGACCUUCGGGCCUCGCGCUCUUGGAGCGGCCGAUGUCGGAUUAGCUAGUUGGUGAGGUAAAGGCUCACCAAGGCGACGAUCCGUAGCAGGUCUGAGAGGAUGAUCUGCCACACUGGAACUGAGACACGGUCCAGACUCCUACGGGAGGCAGCAGUGGGGAAUUUUGGACAAUGGGGGCAACCCUGAUCCAGCCAUGCCGCGUGAGUGAAGAAGGCCUUCGGUUGUAAG
This 419-nucleotide ribosomal RNA is filed under the name bacterium enrichment culture clone ALO1_GLFRUDD03FR7LK. RNAcentral's name for it is "bacterial SSU rRNA". It matches the Rfam family "Bacterial small subunit ribosomal RNA", at positions 9 to 429 of the family's 1533-position model. The record is from RNAcentral.